CGGGGCACAGCUGAGCUCUGUCCGGUCCUCACUCUUUCCUUCCUCCACCACCUGCUGAACACAGAGAGGGGCCCGGACGAGGUCCCCAGCCCCAAGGACCGCAGGUCUGGCCCGGGCAGCGGAGGAACCGGACUGGAGAACACACACACCGUGUGGCCCUGGGCAAGUGAGCCUGGCCUCUCUCUGCUCUUGUCUUCUCGUCUGUGACAUGGAGAUGACUAUCGAAUUGGCCGGGUGGCAGCAGCCAACAGGAUGCCAGGAGCCCCUGACUCCAGCCCUGUGGUGAACAUGCUGUGCAGGCUGAUUUCAGCAUAUGGACAGAACCUGUGAGUGUGGAAGGCAGCAGCAGCCAUGACCUUCCGUGAGCAGACCAUUUGAAGGUUCUGACUGCGUAUCUUGGCAGUUCUUUCAGGGGAACAGCUUGUCCGUGGAAAGAACUGAUAAUAAUGUGCAUUUCAACAUCGCGGGACAGACUCAAAGCAGGGCAGCAACGGUGGGGCGGUGGGGACAGAAGGGUGCUCCGGCCUGCAGGCUGGGGCUGGAGUUUGCUCCCAUACAAGGGCCACUCUCUCAAGAUAAAAGGCUCUGGUAGCGCCUGUAGCAACAAUGUUCAAAUGCCCUGGAGAACAAGUCGCUCUCAGAAGAACACGCUCUGCCGCUGGGAGGCCCUGGAGUUCUCCCAUACUCUGUGCACCAGCAAGAAGGCUGGCAAAGCACUUGCCCUGGCCCAGGGUCCUCCCCGCUGAGGCCCUGCCAACAUCAGGGGGUCAUUCUCUGCAGAGCCGUCCUGGGUGCUGUGGGGGUGAGCAGCAGCCCUGGCCUCACCCACUGGAAGCCAGGUGCUCCCCAUUCGUGACAAUCGCAAUGUCCCCAGACAUCACCCAGUGUCUCCUGGGGGCAAGGUGACCCUCAAUUAGGAAUCACAGAUUUAGCCCAAUAUAUAUAAAAUAGCGUUUCCACUGUGGCCGUUUCAGGCACUCAGCUGCCUGUGGCUGGCAGCUGCCAUACGGGAACUCACAGCAGCUCUGGGCACUGAGCUCAGCUCCAAGACAGUGUCAGGUCCAGAAGGGCAGCGGGCAUCACUGCAGCACGGGUGGCCCAAGCCCAGCGCCUCCCAAGGUGCCGGCCACUGCACUCAGCACGCUGGGGGGCCACGCGUCCUUACAAAGCCCUCCGCACGGCUGCCACGCUGGAGGGACCCUCACUUGCCCCUCCGUGAGGCAUCAGCUGGCUGUGGUCCCGGCCCUCCCAGAGCUUCCAGUGAGAAGAGCCACCCAGUGGACACAACCAUGUCCAAAAACGGUCGGAGAGAGAAACCGUAAGGCAGGUUCUCACCCUGCCCCCAGGGUCACCAGGCAGUGUCUGGGGACAUCUGUGGCUGUCCUGCGUGGGGGACUCCUGGAGGAGAGUGGGUGGGGCCAGGGAGGCUGCUCACCCGCUCCAGUGCCCAGGACACCCCCUGAGAGCGAAGUGGCCUCGAAGUCAGCAGAGCUGGGAGAGACUCCACAGUGGGGCUGUGGCUCUCACCAGAAUGUCCACUCUGUGAGAGUCCGGCUUUUCCUGGUCCCUGCCUCUCCCCCAGAGCCUGGCCUAGACACAUACUCAGAAUUCCUUGCUAGGAGAAGGAACGACAUCUUUGGGAGGGUCACUGGUGAGGAGUAACUGCCCGCCACCAGUCCCCACGCGCAGAGGCACCAGGUCUGUGAGGUGAGGAGGUGGUGUGUUGGGGGUGGUGGAUCUCAGGACAGGGCGGCCAUGGUACUCUACGUGCUGAACCAGAACGUCCCGGAGAACAGGGAUGGGCAUCCGCAGGUUUCCAAAGCCCAAGGACUUGGCUGCAAACAGCUGGGGCGCCCACCAGCAUCUCCACCCCGACCCGGCUCAAGGCCACUGUGCCGAGACCCCGUGGGCCUGCUCUGCCCCCUAGUGGCCACUCUGGGAAGCCCGCACUCUCUAAGGUCCCCGGGCUCAGCGCCCCAGGAGCAAACGCCCAAACUCCUGGUCAUCUUCUAGCCUUGGCGUCUGCAGGAAAUCAGAGCGGCAGAUCGGACUGCUGGUUCUGCUGCCAAGACAGGUGUUGGUGGCCCUCGCUUGGCGAUACCCCCGCCGCUCAGGGAUGGGAAACCCUAGCCCAAGUUUGCAUGCCUGGUACGCCUACAGGAUGUGCUCAACAAAGUGGCUGUUAAAUGAAGAAAUAAUCAGGGAAAACUUGGCACUUCUCCCCUUCGAGGAGCUCCUACAAGGAGCGGGUAACACAGAACCCUGCAAGAUCUGCCCACGGUGUGCCCGCUCCCCAGACAGCUCAGUCCAAGUCCCUCCAAGGGGGUCUCUCCUCUGCGUCACAUCGCCAGGUGUCCCCUGGGGGCGGGGGUCAGACUUAGCCCCAGUUAAGUUUCAAAUGGCUUGAAGAUUUAAGUGGAAAAUAGGCAAUCCAAACGAAUGCAGGCGAGUUGUUUAUUUCUUUAAUCUUGACGUUUGGAAGAAUGCGACACAAAACACGAAGGAGAACACUGGGGUACUCAACACAUUUAAAACUCCCUAUGCAAGCAGAGUGGAAAGACACGCUCAGAAAAAUGUUCACAGCGUAUGUGAUGGAAACCUGACAGCAUAGGAACAGAAAUACAAAAACUUCAAGCAAAUGUAUAUGAAGAGUUCAAACAAAUCAAGGAGAGAGAGAGAGAGAGAGACCCCACAUCAAGGUCAGCAGGGAACACAGCCAGGCCAUUUGCAGAAGAAACACCAGGGAGAAAAUGCUGAGACCGUGGCUAACCCAGGGGACGCAGACAAAGCGACACGGAGGUUGUCCUGGCCGGCCGGUCGGUGGGGAAAUGUGCACUUCUGGAGGUCGCUGCGGCUGAAUGUCUCAAACACAACAAAAUACCCUGGUUUUCAUGUGUGCGCACACAUGUGCUCUCUCUCUCUCACACACACACACACACACACACACACACGCAGCAAACCCAUUUAUGAGAAUUUACCCCAAAUGAUAACCAGCCAAGGAUGUACAAAGUUUGCCUGAGGACAUUCAUCCAUCCCAGAGCACAGCAAAAAAUAAAUAGAAAGAAAGAAAAACAGGAAAGG
This is a long non-coding RNA of Manis pentadactyla (Chinese pangolin), 3081 nucleotides long. RefSeq lists it as uncharacterized. NCBI's taxonomy places the organism in Eukaryota, Metazoa, Chordata, Mammalia, Pholidota, Manidae. The transcript is spliced from 3 exons. The record is from RefSeq and is a predicted model, not a curated record.